CUUUAUUAAUUUCUUAUAUAUAAUUUAUAUUAAAUAUAAAAAUAUAUUUUUUAAAUAAAAUAGACGAUAAGACCCUAUWAAAUUUUACUUAUAGUUUAACUGGGGAAGUUUUAAAAAUAAAAUUUUUUAUAAAAAUAAAAAUAAAUCUAAUAAAAUUAAAAUUAAAUUAAAUUAYUAUAGGGAUAACAGCAUUAUAUUUUUUAAAAGUUCAUAUUAAAAAAAAUGAUUGUGACCUCGAUGUUGAAUUAUAUUUUCUUUAUUAAUGCAAUAAUUAUAAAAGKAGAUCUGUUCGAUCUUUAAAAUAUUACAUGAUUUGAGUUCAAACCGGUGUAAACCAGGUUGGUUUCUAUCUUUUUAUAAAUUCAUAUAUAUAUAUAUAUAUAUAUACAUAAAUUUUUCAAGUACGAAAGGAAAAAAAAAUUUUUAUUUUAAUUAAUUAGCAAUUAAUAUGCAUUAGAUUUAGAAUCUAAAUAAACUAUU
RNAcentral lists this unclassified non-coding RNA (480 nucleotides) under Anelosimus eximius. Its description in RNAcentral is "partial contains tRNA-Leu and 16S ribosomal RNA". The stretch from base 182 to 341 matches the Rfam family "Eukaryotic large subunit ribosomal RNA", at positions 2825 to 2984 of the family's 3401-position model. The record is from RNAcentral. Lineage: Eukaryota; Metazoa; Arthropoda; Arachnida; Araneae; Theridiidae.